CCUACGGGAGGCACCAGUGGGGAAUAUUGCACAAUGGGCGCAAGCCUGAUGCAGCCAUGCCGCGUGUAUGAAGAAGGCCUUCGGGUUGUAAAGUACUUUCAGCGGGGAGGAAGGGAGUGAAGUUAACAACCUCAUUCAUUGACGUUACCCGCAGAAGAAGCACCGGCUAACUCCGUGCCAGCAGCCGCGGUAAUACGGAGGGUGCAAGCGUUAAUCGGAAUUACUGGGCGUAAAGCGCACGCAGGCGGUCUGUCAAGUCGGAUGUGAAAUCCCCGGGCUCAACCUGGGAACUGCAUUCGAAACUGGCAGGCUGGAGUCUUGUAGAGGGGGGUAGAAUUCCAGAUGUAGCGGUGAAAUGCGUAGAGAUCUGGAGGAAUACCGGUGGCGAAGGCGGCCCCCUGGACAAAGACUGACGCUCAGGUGCGAAAGCGUGGGGAGCAAACAGGAUUAGAUACCCGGGUAGUC
This 465-nucleotide ribosomal RNA is filed under the name uncultured bacterium. RNAcentral describes it as "bacterial SSU rRNA". It matches the Rfam family "Bacterial small subunit ribosomal RNA", at positions 338 to 795 of the family's 1533-position model. The record is from RNAcentral.